This 1961-nucleotide long non-coding RNA is filed under the name Sander lucioperca (pikeperch). Its description in RNAcentral is "lncRNA (ENSSLUG00000014566.1)". The record is from RNAcentral. Lineage: Eukaryota; Metazoa; Chordata; Actinopteri; Perciformes; Percidae.
AUGAGACUGAAAGACAUUGAUGGCAUCACUCUCCUCAGCAGCAGUGAUUUUCACCCUUGCACUGUCCACAAACAUCUUCGUCAGCAAUUUGGAUGCUGGGAUGGUUGUGCUUUCUGCUAUACGUCCACUUGCCCAGCAGCUGAAACAGACAGUGUCUUGCUCAGUUGCAUAAGAUGACAAAUGGUCACAUUAAAGAUUGUGCCAAUUUUUUUUAAAAACAAAAAUGACCCAACAUGCAGAAAGUGAGAUUGUGAGAGACAGGUGACAAGUGAGAUGAGAGAGUGUCUUACCUUCUCUGUUCCGUUGAUUUCAAUUGGUUUGAUCAGACUCUCACAGCUGCUCACAGGAGCUGACUGUCCAAUGGACAGAAGACUGAGCACAGCCACAGCAACAUGAAUAAAAUUCAUCAUGGCUCGCCACAUCUACUUUCACAAAGAUCCUAAAUCUGUGUGUCUGAUCGUAGCGCCGAGCUGAUUGUGUCUGCUUUAAGCUAAUACUGGUGCAUUAAAGUUCAGACGUGUGACGUGUGUAGUCAUGAGUUGUUUACACAUGUUGCAAUCAAGUUUAAAGGUAGAUGAAGUGAAAUAUUUAUUGAUUUUUAUUCAGACAACUGAAUAAGGCAUCCACCAUUUGGAACAUGACAAAAGUGUUGAUGUCAGAUGCUUCAUGCUUACUCUAAAAGAAAGACAAAUAACAAAAGCUUGGAAAUUAGUAACCAGUCGCUGCAGCUGGUUUGUUAACACAGAACCGUCUGAGAAGCCAUUAUUUGAAACUUUUGGAAAAGGGCAGGCACUUUCAAAAAAUACCUGGCAGAUGAUUGGAUGAACCAUCUGCCCACCAUGUUGUUUUGAACGAACAGUUGCGGCCGUCACACACACCUACCACGUCCUAAGAUGCCAGUAGCUCCUCACCGGACGCUGAUUGGUUCGGUCCGCUCCUGUUCGGACACAAACCCAUUACUUGAAGCCUGACAAUUCUCGUGUGAUUUCGUGACAUCGCGAGAAUCCAGCAGCUGUGCAAGGAAAGGAAAUUAGAGCGAUAAAACCAAAGAUAUCGGCGAUUAAAUUGCUCUGUGUCCCUUCAGGGCCAGAGACCAAGAUACCCCGUCUGCUCCAGUUGUCCUACGACGUUACCUAUCGUGGGGUUUCAGCUCACAACGCCUUCAACUCUUUGGUUUCCAUCUCUUUUGAGUUAUUUUUUAAUGCUGCCUUCAAAUGGAACUUAUGAUCUCGAUGUAACGACAUGGGAAGUCGUGUACCCGUGCUUGCCAUUCAAGUGAUUAACCCGUGAGAAUAGCGCUACUAGGCAACUGCAACAUGGAUGCCAAAAGACUCUACCUAAGGUUAACUAUUUAGCAAGCUAGCGAGCGGGUAAUGUAAUGCCAGAAAUGCAAAGGCAUAAUGAAAAAGAUGAGGCUGGGAAUAGCAACAUUUUCCUCAGACAUAAAAUUACAAAGAAGAAAAACUCUAUACGACUAAAAUUACAAUAUAUUAACUUACCAUCCACCCUAAUAUGAACUUCCAUGGCCUUAGCCAUUUCUGAAAACGUCAGAAAACACAUCAAUCAAUCAAUCAAUCAAUUUUAUUUGUUACAUGAAUGAAAGGUACAAUUCCAGUGAACUGUAGCCUAAUCCCAUCAGCUUCUACAACUUGUGCAUGUUGUCUUGUCAUGUGCAAGCUGCCCACCCUCUCCAUGAGGACCCGUUUAUAUUAAAGGGGAACUCUGCAGUUUUUUUUAGCUUAUCUUAUCUUAACUGAACAGCGUUGGAGUCAUUGUAAUGGUUAUAUGACUUUUUUUCGGGUUGAAUGGUGGCCAUCUCGCUUCCCCCUGGUGCCUGUGAGCGGAAAAACCACCCUUGCAACUUUGGGCCGGCGAGCCGCCGGCCUCAGCGUCAGGAAGUAUCGCGUGAUAUCAGGUCUCGCGAUGUAACGAAUUGCUUCAUGGGACUGCACACAUACACG